This 3021-nucleotide long non-coding RNA is filed under the name Olea europaea (common olive). RNAcentral describes it as "long non-coding RNA (OEUR_LNC003547)". The record is from RNAcentral. Lineage: Eukaryota; Viridiplantae; Streptophyta; Magnoliopsida; Lamiales; Oleaceae.
UUUUUUGAAUAAUCAAUGACUAAUGAAUUUCUUUAAGAAGUCUUUGUUCAUACGAAUUUUAAAAAGUAUAUAUUCUCCCGAAAAACCGUGAAAUAAUUGAAAAACCCGUACAAUAAUUGAACACACGGCGGCAUUCGGCAAAUUCCGUCACGUAACCCAACUUGUAAAGAAACGACGCCCGCUGUAAUUUCAACGACCCCAAAAGUCAUCAAAUUUUCUUAUAUACCAACCUUAAAUUUACUGUAUGGAGACGUCUGCGUAUUUUCAACUUUGCUAGGACCAUGGACGCGGUGGUGGUGAAGGCUGAGAAUCCGACCCGAAAGAAUUUGGGAAAGGAUCGAGUACGGGUCCAGAGGAAAACCCUGGAGGCGGUGCUCGAGCAAUGCCAGAUGGCCCUCCAGCAGCUCACCUCAGACUGCGAUGAUGACCUUGCUGGUACCGAGGUCUCCGGCGAUAGCUCAUCGGCGACGUGCUGUGAUACCGAGGCCGCUGAGGUCAGCCUUUGUUUUAUUUAUUUUUUGUCUAGUUUUUUGGGAACUAAUGAACUUGUUUGAAUUUCGGUCAUUUGCUGUAGUCGAAUACCGUGAGUAUUCAAUUAUAUUGGACUUGAGAGUAAUUUUUCUUUGUUGCUUUUUAGCUAUUUGCUUGUCUGAAAGAGUAUGCGUUGAUUUUUUUUCUCUCCCCUUUGUUGGCAAGAAAUUAGCUUUUCCUAUUGUGAAUUUCAUUGCUCAUAAAUUGUGGGAUAGGUUUAGCCUUAAGGAGGUUCCAUUGUCAGAUGUUGGGUUCUACGUUUUCAAAUUUGAUUUUCUCGGUCAAGCUCUUUUGGUUCUUGAAGGAACACCUUGGCAUAUGGCUAAUAGGCCACUUAUUCUGAAGCGUUGGAAACCUAAUAUGACUUUGGCCAAGGAGAAUCUACAUUGCAUUCUUGUUUGUGUGAAGCUUUAUAAUAUUCCUUUUGAGUACUGGACAACGGAGGGAUUGAGUCAUGUAGCUAAUGCAGUGGGACAUCGUCUACAGGCAGAUACAAUCACUCUUACACGUAAACGUCUCGGCUUUGCACGUGUUUGUGUUGAGAUUAAUGCUUUGGAGGAGUUAGUGGAGGAUUUUGAUUUCCAUUGUGCUAAUGGGGAUUGGAUAACUAUUCGUGCUAAGUUUGAAUGGGUCCCCAUUAAAUGUUCGGAAUGUAGGGUAUUUGGCCACAAUUGCUUUUCUCAUACUAAGCCUAGUGAGAGUAAGGAUAAGCUUACCAAGGUUAGGAUUGCUAAGGAUAAGGCUGGUCAGAGUGGUGUAGCUUAUGAGAAACCACCUAUCGAAGACGAAUGGACCCAUGUCUCACAUUAGAGAAAGUCUACAGGUAGCGUUGAUCUUAGUGUUGCUAUGCUUAUCCAAGAAGAUGGCAUCCAUACUUUGGAUGAUAAUUCUAAGGAGGUCCAAGGAAAGGUUGAUUUGCAACCAUUGCAUAGCGAACUUGAUCAGUAAGGAGGUCCAAGGAAAGGUUGAUUUGCAACCAUUGCAUAGCGAACUUGAUCAGCAUCUGGUUGUUGUCAAGGUAGCUCAUGGUGAAAUUGAUAAGUCAUCUGAUCUUGAUUUGCAGCUGGUGGAGUCGAAUGUGCCUAAUGAGACUUUUGAAACUAGAGAAAGGGAAGUUACUCCAAUUUCACUUGCCAUUCUAGGUGAAGAUGAUAGUGAUACUUCUAUCCCUCAGUCUAACAUGUUGGCGACAAAAGUUAAAGAUUCACUUUAAAAGAAAAAGAAUGGAUCAGGGAGUAAGCAUAAGAAAGGUAAGAAGCAUCGCUCCCCUAGGGGAGGUAGAUGGCGUUAGCCAUACUGAGGUUGUGAUUCCUUUCUUGACUUUAAUAAUGUUUUUUGGAUGCUGGAAUGUUGGAGGGUUAAAUGAAAGAGUAUCUGUCCAACUCCGUUGAAUCCAAGGCAUGUUACAUUGUAAUUAAUUUUCUAUUUAAUGUUCUAAAUUUCACGAUUUUAUGUUUUUGAAUGGAUUUAAUUCAAUUAUGAAAUUUCGAAUAAAUUAAGGUUUAAAUUUCCAACUAAAUCUUUUUGCAUCAAAUAUAAUAUAUAAAAUGAUAUCAGUAACACCUCCGAUUUCAAAUCAAUGCAAUUUGGGGUUUUACAAUUCUUAACAUUUGUUGAGGCUUAUGUAUAUUCUAAACCUAUUUCAAACCUCGCGAAAAUAAAAUAAGUAACUUAUUGUCUAUAUAGUGAUCAAGCAUUCAUAUAAUCCAUAAGGAUGGAGUACCAAUCAAUAACACAAAUCAACUAAAUAAGUAGUCUUCGAAUUUAAACGGUGAAAUAAAAUAUUUGGCAUCCCAGCACAAAUAUAUUUAACCUAGCAUCUGAAUAAUGAUAUUAUAACAAAAGCAACAAAAAUUUGUCGCUCGAAAUAUAAUUGCAGAAAAUAGAUGUAAAAUCAAUUUACACGAAAUUAAGCAAUAAUUCUCUAAAGUCAUCUUUUUUCGUUGGAAAAUAUGAGAUACAGAUGAAAAAGUGGAGAGUAAUAUUUUUACAAUUUUUUUUUAAAUUACAAAUUGAUCAUUUUUCAUUAUAAAAUAGGAUAACGACCCAAAAGAAUAGAGUGGAAUAGGAAAUGAGAAUAAUAAUAAUGUUGAAAACAGAAAAAUAUUUGACGUUUUUUGAAUAAUCAAUGACUAAUGAAUUUCUUUAAGAAGUCUUUGUUCAUACGAAUUUUAAAAAGUAUAUAUUCUCCCGAAAAACCGUGAAAUAAUUGAAAAACCCGUACAAUAAUUGAACACACGGCGGCAUUCGGCAAAUUCCGUCACGUAACCCAACUUGUAAAGAAACGACGCCCGCUGUAAUUUCAACGACCCCAAAAGUCAUCAAAUUUUCUUAUAUACCAACCUUAAAUUUACUGUAUGGAGACGUCUGCGUAUUUUCAACUUUGCUAGGACCAUGGACGCGGUGGUGGUGAAGGCUGAGAAUCCGACCCGAAAGAAUUUGGGAAAGGAUCGAGUACGGGUCCAGAGGAAAACCCUGGAGGCGGUGCUC